AGAGUUUGAUCAUGGCUCAGGAUGAACGCUGGCGGUCUGCUUAACACAUGCAAGUCGAACGAAUCCCUUCGGGGAUUAGUGGCGGACGGGUGAGUAACGCGUGAGAAUCUACCAAAAGGACUGGGACAACCACUGGAAACGGUGGCUAAUACCGGAUGAGCCGCAACGUAAAAGAGGAAACUCGCCUUUUGAAGAGCUCGCGUCUGAUUAGCUAGUUGGUGAGGUAAAGGCUCACCAAGGCGGCGAUCAGUAGCUGGUCUGAGAGGAUGAUCAGCCACACUGGGACUGAGACACGGCCCAGACUCCUACGGGAGGCAGCAGUGGGGAAUUUUCCGCAAUGGGCGAAAGCCUGACGGAGCAAGACCGCGUGAGGGAGGAAGGCUCUUGGGUUGUAAACCUCUUUUGUCAGGGAAGAACACAAUGACGGUACCUGAAGAAUCAGCAUCGGCUAACUCCGUGCCAGCAGCCGCGGUAAUACGGAGGAUGCAAGCGUUAUCCGGAAUUAUUGGGCGUAAAGCGUCCGCAGGUGGCACUUCAAGUCUGCUGUCAAAGACCGGGGCUUAACCCUGGAAAGGCAGUGGAAACUGAAGCGCUAGAGUGUGGCAGGGGUAGAGGGAAUUCCCGGUGUAGCGGUGAAAUGCGUAGAGAUCGGGAAGAACAUCGGUGGCGAAAGCGCUCUACUGGGUCACAACUGACACUCAGGGACGAAAGCUAGGGGAGCGAAUGGGAUUAGAUACCCCCGUAGUCC
This 748-nucleotide ribosomal RNA is filed under the name uncultured cyanobacterium. Its description in RNAcentral is "bacterial SSU rRNA". It matches the Rfam family "Bacterial small subunit ribosomal RNA", at positions 8 to 796 of the family's 1533-position model. Lineage: Bacteria; Bacillati; Cyanobacteriota. The record is from RNAcentral.